This 516-nucleotide ribosomal RNA is filed under the name uncultured Burkholderia sp. RNAcentral describes it as "bacterial SSU rRNA". It matches the Rfam family "Bacterial small subunit ribosomal RNA", at positions 9 to 522 of the family's 1533-position model. Lineage: Bacteria; Pseudomonadati; Pseudomonadota; Betaproteobacteria; Burkholderiales; Burkholderiaceae. The record is from RNAcentral.
GAGUUUGAUCCUGGCUCAGAUUGAACGCUGGCGGCAUGCCUUACACAUGCAAGUCGAACGGUAACAGGCCGCAAGGUGCUGACGAGUGGCGAACGGGUGAGUAAUGCAUCGGAACGUGCCCAGUCGUGGGGGAUAACUGCUCGAAAGAGCAGCUAAUACCGCAUACGACCUGAGGGUGAAAGCGGGGGACCGAAAGGCCUCGCGCGAUUGGAGCGGCCGAUGUCAGAUUAGGUAGUUGGUGGGGUAAAGGCCUACCAAGCCGACGAUCUGUAGUUGGUCUGAGAGGACGACCAGCCACACUGGGACUGAGACACGGCCCAGACUCCUACGGGAGGCAGCAGUGGGGAAUUUUGGACAAUGGGCGAAAGCCUGAUCCAGCCAUGCCGCGUGCAGGAUGAAGGCCUUCGGGUUGUAAACUGCUUUUGUACGGAACGAAAAGACUCUGGUUAAUACCUGGGGUCCAUGACGGUACCGUAAGAAUAAGCACCGGCUAACUACGUGCCAGCAGCCGCGGUA